GGACUACUCGGGUUUCUAAUCCCAUUCGCUACCCACGCUUUCGUGUUUCAGUGUCAGUAAUGCUCCAGUUUGCUGCCUUCGCUUUUGGUGUUCCCCAUGAUAUCAACGCAUUUCACUGCUACACCAUGAGUUCCGCAAACCCCUCGCACACUCUCAGUCGUACCGUUUCCCCUGCAGAUUCUUAGUUAAGCUAAGAGUUUUAACAGAAGACUAAUACAACCACCUACACACCCUUUACGCCCAAUAAUUCCGGAUAACGCUUGAGGCACUCGUAUUACCGCGGCUGCUGGCAC
This 293-nucleotide ribosomal RNA is filed under the name uncultured bacterium. RNAcentral describes it as "partial 16S ribosomal RNA". The record is from RNAcentral.